Small nuclear RNA from Hyla sarda, 193 nucleotides. RefSeq annotates it as U2 spliceosomal RNA. The record is from RefSeq and is a predicted model, not a curated record. Lineage: Eukaryota; Metazoa; Chordata; Amphibia; Anura; Hylidae. The transcript has a single exon.
UUCUCAUCCUUCCUUUUGGCUGGUAUCAAAUGUGGUGUCUGUUUGUAUCAGUUUAAUAUCUGAUAUGUUCCCUAUCUGGUAGCAUAUAUUAAGUGCAUCACCAGGUUUCAGUGUUGGAAAGAAAGAAUACCUGUUUAUUUGCUGCAGCUGCUUGCUGGCUAGUCCAGUGGGCCCCUACUGCAGGCAAAAGACA